RNAcentral lists this small nucleolar RNA (90 nucleotides) under Oncorhynchus mykiss (rainbow trout). RNAcentral's name for it is "snoRNA (ENSOMYG00000045105.2)". The stretch from base 1 to 74 matches the Rfam family "Small nucleolar RNA SNORD49". Rfam says of the family: U49 belongs to the C/D class of snoRNA which contain the C (UGAUGA) and D (CUGA) box motifs. Most of the members of the box C/D family function in directing site-specific 2'-O-methylation of substrate RNAs. Lineage: Eukaryota; Metazoa; Chordata; Actinopteri; Salmoniformes; Salmonidae. The record is from RNAcentral.
GGAUGUGACGAUACCAAUAUAGGAAGUGCCGUCCGAUGCGAAACUGACGAAGAUUCCUAAACGGUUAGCUUGCUAGCUAGUCAUCUGAUC